This 403-nucleotide ribosomal RNA is filed under the name bacterium. RNAcentral's name for it is "partial 16S ribosomal RNA". It matches the Rfam family "Bacterial small subunit ribosomal RNA", at positions 355 to 776 of the family's 1533-position model. The record is from RNAcentral.
UGGGGAAUAUUGCACAAUGGGGGAAACCCUGAUGCAGCGACGCCGCGUGAACGAAGAAGGUAUUCGUAUCGUAAAGUUCUGUCCUAUGGGAAGAUAAUGACAGUACCAUAGAAGAAAGCUCCGGCUAAAUACGUGCCAGCAGCCGCGGUAAUACGUAUGGAGCGAGCGUUGUCCGGAAUUAUUGGGGGUAAAGGGUACGCAGGCGGUUUAAUAAGUCGAAUGUUAAAGAUCGGGGCUCAACCCCGUAAAGCAUUGGAAACUGAUAAACUUGAGUAGUGGAGAGGAAAGUGGAAUUCCUAGUGUAGUGGUGAAAUACGUAGAUAUUAGGAGGAAUACCAGUAGCGAAGGCGACUUUCUGGACACAAACUGACGCUGAGGUACGAAAGCGUGGGGAGCAAACAGG